Molecule: ribosomal RNA, 497 nt
Filed under: uncultured bacterium
Lineage: Bacteria
Description: partial 16S ribosomal RNA
Rfam family: Bacterial small subunit ribosomal RNA
Source: RNAcentral
GAUGAACGCUGGCGGCGUGCCUAAUACAUGCAAGUCGAGCGAACAGACGAGGAGCUUGCUCCUCUGACGUUAGCGGCGGACGGGUGAGUAACACGUGGAUAACCUACCUAUAAGACUUGGAUAACUUCGGGAAACCGUAGCUAAUACCGGGUAAUAUAUUGAACCGCAUGGUUCAAUAGUGAAAUACGGUUUUGCUGUCACUUAUAGGUGUAUCCGCGCCGCAUUAGCUAGUUGGUAAGGUAACGGCUUACCAAGGCGACGAUGCGUAGCCGACCUGAGAGAGUGAUCGGCCACACGGGAGCGGAGACACGGUCAAGACUCCUAAGGGAGGCAGCAGUAGGGAAUGUGCCGCAAUGGGCGAAAGCAUGACGGAGCAACGCCGCGUGAGUGAUGAAGGUCUUCGGAUCGUAAAACUCUGUUAUUAGGGAAGAACAACUGUGUAAGUAACUAUGCACGUCUUGACGGUACCUAAUCAGAAAGCCACGGCUAACUACGUG